ACUUAGUGCACAGAGUUGUAAUCACCGAAUGGAGAAAACCAAGUAAAUCUCACAACAGAGAGUUUAAACGCAUGUUAAUUGUUAUUAUUGGUGUUUACGACUCUUUGACAUGAAAACUGCAUGUCUUUUUAGUUUUUACCAGAGAGCCCAAAAACAGACACUGAGGACUCACCAGAUCAAAUCAAGACGGGUCAAGCCAAUUAAAAACAAAACGAAACAAAAACACUGCUUGAGCAUGAGCUGUGUGCCAGGCACAGCUGGAAAUUCCUGCCCCAGAGAGCUUGUUUGCCAGGAGUAUACAGGACAGAAACCCAGAAAAUACAAGGAAGUUAUGGCUGGCAUACGAUGGGUGCCCAACUACUGGAAGACAGUGAUUUUCAGAAACCUGUUCCUCAGGGACACUUCAAGUAGAGGUCAAGCAGACUGGAGAUCAGAGGUGCAAAUGCGCUCUGCAGAAAGGGGAAGUUGUAUGAAGCCCGCGAAGGCAGAGACCCAGCUAGAGACCCAGCCCGAAUGGAAGACAGCUGGAAACCAGAAUCCAAGCCCUUCCCAGCUACCUCCGUGGACUCGGCAGACGGGGACUUGGAUCUUUCCUGCCUAACGGAUACUUCCUGGGCUGCUGAGGGGUGCUGGCUGCGGGCCGAUGGCUUGUGGUUUCUCCUUGAGGUUUCCGUGGAGUCAAAACAACACAUGGACUUUGAUCUCUCUUCAGCAGUUGGCAGAAAGCUCAAUUCCAAGCCGAGGCCAAAUCAACUUUUGAGGACUAAUCCCUCAGCCUCCCCACUGUCAGGGACAGCCACUUCUGGAAGCUUCACAUCUAAUUCAGGCUGCAAAAAGCAGCCUUGAAUUGUUAUUUCUAUCACCCACUAAAUCCAUUCAAUUGCCUUCCCUUUUCUUAACUUUGAAAUAGCUUCAAUUACCCGGCAUACAAUAGUCACCUGGGUUUAAUUUUUUUUUUUCUUUUUUGAGGGGAACUCAUUUUAGCUAAGCAAUUACAAACAAUAGCUUGAUUAUAUUUCUAAAUGCUUUUGACACAAGCAACUGCUUCUUUUCCAAAGCAUGCACUGAGCUAUCGGAAUAUUGUAAUAUUUCCCUCCCCCAGCAGUUUUGCCUGGAUCUCACCCACUGAAGAAACCAACUGUAAAUAUUUGACAUUCCUUGUACUUCUGGUAGUCCGCACUGUUUAGCCUUCUGGGGCUCUCCAUUUCAGUUUUAAGCCUCAAGGGAAAAUGGAAAGAAAAGGCUGGGGUAUGUUUUAGGCCCUGAAACUUUGCUUCUUUAUAAAUAGUCACCCCUUGGGGCACCUGGGUGGCUCAGUCGGUUAAGCAUCAGGUCAUGAUCUCAUGGUUCGUGAGUUCGAGCCCUGCGUUGGGCUCUCCGUUGAUAGAACAAAGCCUGCUUCAGAUUUCCUCUCUCCCUGCUCCCCCUCCUGUUUGCACUCUCUCUCCUUCUCUCAAAAAUAAAUAAACAUUUAAAAAAUAAUAAAAAAUUGGGGCACCUGGGUCGCUCAGUCAGUUAAGCGACAGACUUCGGCGCAGGUCAUGAUCUCAUGGUUUGUGGGUUCGAGCCCCAUGUCAGGCUCUGUGCUGAC
This 1591-nucleotide long non-coding RNA is filed under the name Lynx canadensis (Canada lynx). RNAcentral describes it as "lncRNA (ENSLCNG00005001447.1)". The record is from RNAcentral. Lineage: Eukaryota; Metazoa; Chordata; Mammalia; Carnivora; Felidae.